Coffea arabica (coffee) is the source of this 3803-nucleotide non-coding RNA. The record is from RefSeq and is a predicted model, not a curated record. NCBI's taxonomy places the organism in Eukaryota, Viridiplantae, Streptophyta, Magnoliopsida, Gentianales, Rubiaceae.
GAGGAAAUAUUUUGUUACGUGAAAAUUGGAAGGAGAAAAAUCCAAGUCCUUUUUACGCUGACAUCACAUUGAGUCCUAAAUUCGACUGAGAGCAGUUGUGGGGUUACAGACUUUCUUGUUUUCAGUUUAGGGUUUCGAUUUUCAGUCUCAAUCUUGGAGGAUACUUGAUGACGUUUGAUGCAAUCUAAAAUGUUGCUUUAGGCUAUCAUAUCAGCCGCAAAAAUAGCUAUGAAUUCUCUGUAUCAAUUUUGGUAGGAGGUUUUUUCAGACUGUUUAAGAUGGGGGAGUUUGGGAAGCGUCCAUGGAAGGAUGAUGGUGAUAGUAAGAACCAGAAAAGGAGGACUGAGAGAGACCAGAAGGGUAACGAUGAGUUGAUUGUAUAUAGGAUUUUAUGUCCAGAUAAUGUUAUAGGAAGUGUAAUUGGAAAGAGUGGGAAAGUGAUAAAUUCCAUUAGACAAGAGACAAGGGCAAAGGUUAAGGUUGUGGAUCCUUUUCCUGGGGCUAAUGAUAGAGUUAUAACAAUUUAUUGCUAUGUUAAGGAGAAGGAAGAUGUGGAGAUUGAUGAUGAAUUCAAUGAAAAGCAACCUCUCUGUGCUGCUCAGGAUGCACUUCUCAAGGUUCACUUUGCAAUUGCAAAUGCUAUCGCAUCAGUUGGCGAGUCUGACAAUAAGAAGCGGAAAGAUAAGGAGGAAUGCCAAAUUCUUGUUCCGUCAAGCCAAUCUGCGAACAUUAUUGGGAAAUCUGGAAGCACAAUCAAGAAGCUCAGAAGCAAGACAAAGACAAAUAUUAAGAUUACAGCAAAGGAUACUAGUGAUCCAACUCAUUCUUGUGCUUUGGAUUUUGACAACUUUAUUCUGAUAUCUGGUGAAUCAGAGGCAGUGAAGAAAGCACUUUUUGCAAUUUCAGCAAUCAUGUAUAAGUUUAGUCCCAAGGAAGAUAUACCUCUUGAUACUACCAUACCGGAAGCUCCUCCAAGUAUCAUUAUCCCUUCAAAUGUUCCUAUCUACCCUGCUGCUGGACUGUACCCUAGUGUAGAUCCUAUUGUGCCACACAGAGCUGUUCCUUCUGUUUUAGAUCCUGGACACGUACCUGAGUUUCCAGGUUAUACUGAAACUGGGAGUACAUUUCCUGUCUAUUCAUCUGCUCUUCCUGUAGUUUCUGGUUAUGGGAGUGAUGUUAAAUCUGAGGAAUUGACUACAAGGGUGCUCUGCCCAUCUAGUAAGAUUGGCCGUGUUAUUGGUAAAGGAGGAAGUUCCAUUAAAAGUGUAAGGCAGGCUAGUGGUGCUCGUAUUGAGGUAGAAGAUGCCAAGGCCAAUCGUGAUGACUGUCUCAUCACUGUCAUCUCAACAGAGUCAUCAGAUGAUCAGAAAUCCAUUGCAGUUGAGGCUGUAUUGUUGUUGCAAGCCAAGAUUAAUGAUGAGGAAGAUGACACUGUGACCAUGCGUCUUCUUGUUCCCUCUAAGGUUAUUGGGUGUAUUAUUGGAAAAGGUGGUUUGAUUAUAAAUGAAAUUAGGAAAAGAACUAAAGCAGAUGUACAUAUCUCCAAAGAUGAGAUGCCAAAAUGUGCCGAUGCUGAUGAUGAACUCGUUGAGGUGGUUGGCGAAGUUUGUAGUGUCAGGGAUGCACUGAUUCAGAUAGUUUUGAGGCUUCGUGACGAUGUCUUGAAGGGCAACGAAGGAGUUCGUCAUCCUUCUGGUGGUUUUGAUUCUGUUUACUGUGGUGCUGCUGGCCUUCCAGUACCCUCAAUGCUGCCCAAUGUUCCUUCAGUUGCUCCUUUAACUUAUGAUCAGAGAGCUGAAACUGGGGCUGGGGUUAGCAUGCUCUCAUCAAGUAGCCUCUAUGGUUAUGGUUCAUUUCCGGUAAGCCUCUAGGUUGACUUGAGUACUUACUAUUCCACCGAAAUCAGCAAUAGCAUAUAAGGAAUUUUUUAGUCUAUUCUUUAUAAAUAUCAUUUUUUUUUGGGUCUACAUUGGACAAUUAUUCAUUUUUUUGGGUCUACAUUGGACAAUUAUACUCUUUUGUUGUUAUGAGCACUGAAACAUGCAUACUUUGACAUUUGAUUCCUUGUUUCAACAAAAAUUUACUUCUUGUUGUGGUGUUGUAUUUCCUCAUAUCUUUAUCCUAUGAAAAUCUUUUCUAAUUUUGCAUGGCUAGAUACAUUUCAGGUUCUCUUUUUUGGACCAAUGUGAGAAAUAUUUUACCUGCAAUAUCAAUUUAUAUGCAACCUUCAAGUUGCUCAUUCUUAUAAUUCUUAGUAGUCAGCUGAUGUGGUGUAAUCAGAUUAGGUGGAUUGGCUUGGAUUACUUACUGUUAUAUGGCUAGGAGCCUGAGAACUUUUUGAUGUUUGGAGCUCUUGUAACCUAACUUGGUAGUAUAUGCAGAAUGGUUUUGGGCCCAUAGGGAUCAUCGCUGAUAUUUAUCCAGUGAUUUUCAUUUGUAUGAUUAUAAAACAUUUUCUAAGAUAAAGAAGGGCCUCUUCCUUGAAAGCUUGGUCUCCCCAAAGGUAUGUUUGAGCAUGUUUUAAAGCCUUGUUUUGCGUAGUCCAUUAUGGACCCUCAAAAGAAAAUAAUGCAUUCCUAUGGUGAUUUUUGUGAAUCAUUUUAUUUUUCAUUUUUUUUUUUGGGAAUUUGAAGAAGCCAUAAGAUAGAGUACUUGUGGGGAAAUGCUGGUAGGAUUUCUUUUUCUCAGGCAACUUUGCCCUAAGCUUCUAGUUGGCGUUUUGUAUCACUUGGCUUGCCUUUAAUGGUAUUUGACUGCAGCAAUUACAGGUAAUCUUAUAGCAAAAGUCCUUUUCUUUUUGAGGAUUAGUAGCUAUUUAGGCUAUGUGAAGAUUAUGGAUAGAGAUAAGAUAGUAUCUCCUCCAUCUGUGCUGCCCAUGGACUGCAAAGAUACUCUGUUAUUAUUACCCCAAAUUAACAAGGAAACAAAGUACUGAGAGGCAUACUAAGGCCAAAUUUAGAACUCAGGCAUAUGGACUAAGAGGCAGAGGACUGCUUCUAGUAAAUUAUUCCUAUUGGAGACAAUAGUUAUGGUUCUUUGCCUACAUAUUCAUCAAAGGUUUAUGGAGGGUUGCCUCAGUCCUCUGCUUUGGAGAUGGUUGUUCCUGCACAUGCAGUUGGCAAAGUCAUGGGGAAAGGGGGAAUGAAUCUCGAGAAUAUUCGUAAGAUAUCUGGAGCAACUAUAGAGAUCCCGGAAUCGAAAUCCUCUAGGGGCGAUCGCGUGGCUGUAAUAUCUGGUACAUCGGAACAAAAGCGUGCAGCUGAAAACUUGAUUCAGGCAUUUAUAAUGGCCACAUAAGUUAUGUCAAGGCAUGUUGGCUUUCUGAUGGGAUUAAGACUGAGACGUUUCUUAUGAACUCUCCCUUUCUAGUUUCAUUUAGGUUCUCUUCUCUGAGAUCCUUCAUCUCUGUGACCUUCUCCAGGAUUUGCAUUCUGUCGAUGAAAGCAUCUAUAUAGAUGAUGCUGGUCGAUAAAAGCAUCUAGAUAGAUGAUGAUGGAAGGUUAUCCUCAUUUUCUGUUCUCCGGGCAUUUAGGGCGUAGCUGUGGUACCAUAUAGAAUCUACUCAAUCUGCGGUUUCCUUAGAGCUUAAUCGGAUGUUUUCUUUCCUUUCAUACUGCUUUAGUAAUUCUUAGCCUUGUUUACUGCCGAUUCGAUCUUAUUCUGUCAUUGCUUUGCUCUGACAAUUUAGUACUUGUGUCAGAUUAUGAUGUCCAUAAUCAUCCAACUCAUAGAACAUGGAAUGUUCUGUUUUUUCUUUUUCCUCCUCCUAUCAGCUUCUUUAGAAUGAUCUUCAUUUUUGGUGA